UACGUAGGGCGCAAGCGUUGUCCGGAAUUAUUGGGCGUAAAGAGCUCGUAGGCGGCUUGUCACGUCGAUUGUGAAAGCUCGGGGCUUAACCCCGAGUCUGCAGUCGAUACGGGCUAGCUAGAGUGUGGUAGGGGAGAUCGGAAUUCCUGGUGUAGCGGCGAAAUGCGCAGAAAUCAGGAGGAACACCGGUGGCGAAGGCGGAUCUCUGGGCCAUUACUGACGCUGAGGAGCGAAAGCGUGGGGAGCGAACAGG
Molecule: ribosomal RNA, 253 nt
Filed under: uncultured bacterium
Lineage: Bacteria
Description: partial 16S ribosomal RNA
Rfam family: Bacterial small subunit ribosomal RNA
Source: RNAcentral